GACGAACGCUGGCGGCGUGCUUAACACAUGCAAGUCGAACGGAAAGGCCCUGCUUUUGUGGGGUGCUCGAGUGGCGAACGGGUGAGUAACACGUGAGUAACCUGCCCUUGACUUUGGGAUAACUUCAGGAAACUGGGGCUAAUACCGGAUAGGAGCUCCUGCUGCAUGGUGGGGGUUGGAAAGUUUCGGCGGUUGGGGAUGGACGCGCGGCUUAUCAGCUUGUUGGUUGGGUAGUGGCUUACCAAGGGUUUGACGGAUAGCCGGCCUGAGAGGGUGGCCGGCCACCUUGGGACUGCGAUACGGACCAGACUGCUAUGUGAGGCAGCAGUGGGGAAUAUGGCACAAUGGGCGCACGUCCGAUGCAGAAACGCCGCGUGCGGGAUGACGGUCUUCGGGGUGUAAACAGCCUUCGCCUGUGACGAAGCGUGAGUGACGGUAAUGGGUAAAGAAGCACCGGCUAACUACGUG
This 468-nucleotide ribosomal RNA is filed under the name uncultured bacterium. Its description in RNAcentral is "partial 16S ribosomal RNA". It matches the Rfam family "Bacterial small subunit ribosomal RNA", at positions 28 to 507 of the family's 1533-position model. The record is from RNAcentral.